AUUAUUUUGGCAGAUUAGUGCAAUAGAUUUAGGAUCUUUAUAUAUAGUUUAAAUUAUAAAUAAUA
RNAcentral lists this transfer RNA (65 nucleotides) under Tenebrionoidea sp. 4 KM-2017. RNAcentral describes it as "tRNA-Leu". The record is from RNAcentral. Lineage: Eukaryota; Metazoa; Arthropoda; Insecta; Coleoptera.